Molecule: long non-coding RNA, 14125 nt
Filed under: Sarcophilus harrisii (Tasmanian devil)
Lineage: Eukaryota; Metazoa; Chordata; Mammalia; Dasyuromorphia; Dasyuridae
Description: lncRNA (ENSSHAG00000022881.1)
Rfam family: mir-122 microRNA precursor family (bases 11246-11318)
Source: RNAcentral
GUGCAGCCCUGGAUGUCCCUAUCCAUUGGUGAUGUGCACAGGAACCAGUGGGAGCAAGCAGGAAAAGUGCAAGCAGGGAAAAAAGAAAAGAAAAAAUGUCAUGGAGAUUUCCAGAAAAGGAGCAAAGAAGGAAAGUAGGCUUUCUGAGUCUAUACAAGGGGCUCAGUGGCAGCUGGCCCUAGGUGACAUAGGGGGUUGAAGUACUGGCAUUCAGGAGUCUCCUCUCACAGCGUGUGCAUCAUCAGGUUUGAGCUCCAGGGGUGCACAGCCUUGACCCACUAUCUGGAUUUGGAUGGGAGUGUCCAAGGUGAGCUAAGUUCUUCCAGCACACUGCUGACCACGGGCUAGGCCAGUGCAGGUCCCAUGGGUCCACAGGGGCAGCAGCCUGGCCACAGAAUCCUUUAUGGUCAUCAGGCUGGCAGUAGCACCUUAUAAUCUGAUGUCACCGUUGUCAGAGAACCAGAGAAGAAUUCUUAGUGGGAUCGUGGAGGUAUAUCAUAGUCCCAUCACAUGGUGAAGCAGUCAAUCCAAAGGCCCAGAUCUAGUGUGGAUAAAGGCCCACACAAACUAAACAGGCAAUGGCCAUCAGCCUCUUUGCCUUAGUGAGUGAGAGCUGUCACAUAGGCCUGUCCCAGGGUGAACCAGUGGACUUCCCCCUUAGUGGUGUUCCAGGCCCACUCCCACAACUGAGGGGUAGUUCCUAAAAGCAGCCAUACUCCUCCAGGGCCAUGUUCCUUCAUUUAUAAAUCCUGGGUCAUAGUUAUCCAAUUUCCAACCCAUGUAGUAGCCCAUGGUGGCAAGUGGGGCCCAAAUAUCUGCCUGACCAUGAAGCUCAAAGCAACCAGUGAGAGACUCUGGUGACUGGAGCACAGUGGGUCAUCCCGUGAGGAAGGUCUUCAGGACCAUCUUAAUAAGCAAAGGUCAGGCAUUGGGUCAAUGUCAUUGAGAUCUGAGCCCCUGUCUAGUUGCUUUGAUACUGUGGCUUAGGCAGGUGGACACAAAAGUGGCUCGUGCAAUCCCUCCAAGGAAGGUUCAGGUCAGGGUUCUGGCGCUCCCAACCCAGGAAUCCUUAGUUGCCCCAGAAAGUGAAACAAUGGGAGAAGGCUGGAUUUAAAAUAAGGGCAUGUAGUGAGGGCUUGUGCACUUGGAAUAAAUGGCCCAAAUAGUACAGAAACAUUUUGGUGCUUGUUCUAGGAUAUCUAAAUCCAAUCAGUUGUGGUCAUCUUACUGGACUUGCACAAGUUUAGCUUGGAGCAGACUGCCAUGUCCUCUUCUAUGUCAGCCUGGCAAGACCAGAUACAUUUCCAUGGUUACUGGCAGGGUUAAAGGCCCUGUAUCUGCUGUUGACAGGGCACCAGGCUCCCCUGGAAGGGCAGCCCAGACAUUGGUGUAGGCUAGGAAGGUGCAGAAAGCCAAGGAGUCCUCACACAGCCACUAUCAGCAUGCUGCAAGAGCCCAUGCAGGCUUUGGUAGAGGUGGUUAUACAAAUGGGCAUGGAUGGGUUUGAGUUAGCACUUUCUUGGCAAAGGAUCUAAUUGGCUGAGGCAGAACUGCUGAUAUUUGCUGGUGAGAAAGGAGUGGGUAAUGAGGAAGAGGCAAAUAAAGUAGACAAGGAGAGAGUGAAUGGCACAACCCCAGAGUCAGGGCAGUGCCCACAUACUGCUUUCAGCCUCUCAUUGCGCCAGCAGCACCAGUCACAGGAAUUAGAUAGCUUGUCCCAGGUUGGAACAGAGUCACUUUCUACUCAUUCCAACCUUCCACUAAUAAGCAUAAGCACAAACUAAGGAGGUAGGAGCAGGGGAAAUGUACUCACUUAGGUGGAAGCAAGGCGGUCCUGGCCCACGUCAUAGUCUUUUGUUGGGCACAGGAGAGGAAUAAGGUCAUUCUCUUGUCCAAGGGUGUGCCUUCACUAUAAAACAGAGAAAGAUCAUAGCUAGAGAUUAUUCCCAGGGUGUCUUUUUCUUCAUUGGCCACUCAUUCUGUGGGGCCAGAUCAUAGUGCAACUACUUCCAUUUGUUCCCCCAUGGAGUGUGGUUAGAUGCUCAGUGAUGAGUGAGCCCCAUGAUGGCUGGGGAACCCAAUAAUUAGCACAAGCGCUCCUCUAUGAUAGUCAAUGGUGGACAUGCUGUGCUAGUAGCCACAGUAUCUGGUACUGGCACUCCCUCCUCAUCUUGUACCAAUUCCUCAUCUCCUGGGUACUGGAAACAGAUAUUGACAUCAAAUAUCCACACACCUGUCAGAUUUUCUAUUGGAAUAGGCAGAGUAUAGUCACUAGUUUUGGGGGUUAAGGUGUUUUGUUGAAAUUGCUACAGUAUCUUCUGUUGGAUUAUAGAAAACCUGUCUGCUCUAGCCAUACCUUAAGGGGACCUAGUCCUCGUUGCAUGGAAUCUAGUCAUAGAACAUAGGCCUGGGUCUAGAAGUGCAUUAUUAGCCGUGGCCACCUGGCUAUGCCCGUCUGCAUAGAAAUUGUGGAAUGAAGAAGGGUCAGUUCUGCCAUUGGGAAGAGAGACAUGAUCGACAAAGAUGGUGACAAGGGAAACUAAGUAUUUCUACAAAGACAUGGCCUGGGUCUCUCAACCUCGUACCAUCCAUUAUCUGACAACCCCCUCAUGACUCCAUAGGGUGAGGCCAUUGGUGCUGGACUAGGAAGAUGUAUGACGAAUCUUUGCUUACUAAAGCAAAAGGGCAAGCAGGAACCACAGACUCUGUACAUACUGCACAUGCUCUUCUUUCCCCUCAGUAGUCAGGGCCUGGUCAAUGGUAGGGUAGUACCUUCCGCUGCCGCAAGAUACCUAUCCCAUAAGAUCUAUGAAGCAGAAAACCCUGGCUUGCUCUGUGCUCGGUUCCAGAUACUGUCCAGGAAUCUGUGUCCCUGAGUGGGGCAGACUGCCCCAGGCCAUGGGGUAAGCAAGGAAGCUCACAAAGAUGGCUCCCCCGUUCAUUCAUCAGCUGUGAUCAGUUCUGAGGAAUUCUGCUCCUAAGCUCGUGAGAGAAGGGAAUACCCUGCAGCCUCCUGGGGCUGUGCCACUGCUUGUUCUGGCCAUACUCCCGAUGCUCCGCUAGGAAAGGGGUGAGGGGGUGGGCUGCUUUCCAAGCAAAGAAAACGCACUCUAACAAGGUGGGGGGAGGGGCGCUGCACCUUUGGCUAAGCCUGGGGGAGGCUUAGGAGGAUCAGGGCAGGGGUUUUCCUGGGCUUGUCUAGGAGUCUUUGCAAGGUCAUGUUCCAGGUAACUUUGACCACAUCUCUUUGCACCAACAACAGAAACGAUGCAUCGAGGCAAUGAGGCCUUGGAAUUAAGGACUAUGACUAAACGCAAAAACUCGGACCCAAGCCUUGAACUCACUGGUUUCCCGAGGACAUCCCCCACCCACUUUUAUACCACGUGCCUUUUGCUAAGGGAACAAUUCUUUCCCGUGACGCACAUGCCCAGAGAGACCAGAAUCCCGCUCAUGGGCUUCCGCCACUGACGUCAUACCCUACUUCCGGGAAUCAUUGGUGGGAUGUGACUCAUGGAGCUUCAUUGCUCCGAGGGGGAUUUAGGGUGAGGGAGGGCGGAAGUUUGGUGGCCACUCCACCCCCCAAUACCAGACAACUGGCACCUUCAGUGCCCUUCCUGGCAGGCCCACGCAGUCACUCUGCGUGGUGGGGGAAUUCUUAGAGUCUAUCGGGACUGUUUCAGGGCCUCGCGGGGCUCUUAUGGGUCUUACAGAGCGUGGUAGGGCACGACUGGCUGGGGGUCAUCUGCGCAGGCGCCGCGGGCAUCACUGAGGACACGUGGCUUUUUCAACUGAAGCAGCAAUGACCGGGAUGAGGUUUUGGUACCCAGUGACGUGGGUUUCUUAUAUGUCAUCAGUUUUGCUGAGUCAUCUACAGUACUGUGUGAGGACAGCCGCCUCACAGGGUCUUCCAGUUAAAGGGGAGGUUUUUUUAGCCAAGGAUUUGGGCCUAGUCAGUCAACGUUGAGGAGUCAUUUGCGCAUGCGUUGAUGAGAUUGGGGACACGUGAUCUUAGCCUGAAGCGAUAGCAUUGCGCCAGUCUCUGAUGGGGCCAGUUUUUCCUACCUCCAUCAUCGCGGCGUUGUAAGGAACAAGUAAGAAUGGAACCCUUAAAGGCUGUGAAAGGGUUAGCCAUUACCGUUUAAACCAACAAGGGCAACAGUAUCUUCUCCAAACCACAUUUCUGGAAUUCUCAAUCAUGAGCAUCAACAUUUUCAAAACCCUUCUCCAUGAUAAAGAGUUACCCCGCUUCUUAAACUUAAUGAUCUUAAGGGUAAUGAAUUCCUACUCCUACGUUAUUUCCAAAAGCGUCUAUGUAGCUUUUCAGUGGUAAUAUGGGAGAAGGAUGGAAACCCUUCCAUACUCCAACUCCAGGAGAAGAGAGGAUUCUGGGUGUCUGCUCCUCAUGGUGAGUGGAAAUUUACAUUUUUUUUUUUUUUUUGCAGCAUUUGUUUUUUUUUUUUUUUUUUUUUUUUUAAUUUAAUAGCCUUUUAUUUACAGGAUAUAUGCAGACCCCCAGCCAGUCGUGCCCUACCACGCUCUGUAAGACCCAUAAGAGCCCCCCUCCCCCAGAUGGCAGGAUGACCAGUAGAUGGUAAGUACAUUAAAAUAUAAAUUAGAUACACAAUAAGUAUACAUGACCAAAACGUUAUUUUUGCAGCAUUUGUUACACAUAAUUCUGGAUUUCUUUCUGAAUUUGGGAUGACUUCCAGAUAGUCCAGUAAGACUUUGACUUCAGAUGGUCAAAAUGAUCUCUUGAAGUUGUUCUUUGGGAGGCAAUUGAAGGCACACAACUAAAGGGUUAAAUAUCUGAGGUUUUGAAUUCAGUUCCUCAACUCCAGGGCCAGUGCUAGUCCAUUGUGCCAUUUAUCUGUACCCUACCCCAUCCCCACCCCCAGCUUGUGAAACAGGAGUUGGCUCCUUGCUCACCACCUCUCAGUGAAAAUUUCCAAUGCUCCCUGAAAUGACUACAUCUAAAACCUAAACUUCCUACAAUGUUAAAAAUCCCAGUACUUACCUUCACACUUUACUCUAAAAAACCAUGAGUAUGUAUCAACUCUUACCACCCGUAGCCUCCUAAUGAGCAUCAUAAGUGUAACAAUACUUUAUCACAGUAGCUGUCUUAAAGGCAGUGGGACAGAAGGGAGCCAAAAUAUAAGGAUCAUCCUACUUCUAACAUAUCCAAGUGACUGAGAGGCAGUACCAAUGGGAAUUUUAAAGAAAUUAACAUUUCCGCUAGUUAUGGUUUUAGAACUGAAGAGAAAGUGGGGAUUUGUGGAACAAGCUUCAGGUUUCGCCUAGUGAGAAAUGUUGAGGAAAAGUGUUCCAGAUGUGCAUCCUGCUGAGAACUGAAGGUGGGAGGGAUCUGCUUGUCUCUUGUAAGAAUAUAUGUCUGGAAAACUCACUUGGCAAAGCUUUCCACUUUCCCUAAAGGAUUUUAACUCAUAAUCAUUCAGUAAAGAAAUAUGAUUACCGUAACCAAACCAGGUGGUGAAACAAAUUAAAAAAUAAAUACAAAUCAAUUUACCAUAUACCGUGCAAGACAAUGCCAACAAAAUUCCUUUUUUGAAGUUGAGCUUUGUCUCCCUGUGACAAAAUACACAUGAGUUUGGAAGUUUCAUUUGGGAGCAGGAUACGGAAAACUUUCUGGAAAAAUGUUUUAUUUGGUUCCUCUCAAGAUGACAGAUUAGAUUUUUAUAGCACAAAUGUUUUGCCCUUAAAUUACCAUAUCCAGUCACAUAGUUCUUUCAUGGACAGCCUGGGUGAUUUUGGACAGUCCACUUUUUCUUCAUAUAAGGAGAUAAACCAAAUUGUCAUUGGGAAACUGAAGAGAAAUCGUUGUUCAGGAACUAGUAUCCCCCUUCCUGUCUUCUCUAUAGAAACUUCCUGUACUUUAGUUAGAAUCUAUUUUAAAAGUUCUCCCUGAGUAGGAAACAAACAAACAAAAAACAGUAGCAAAACAUGCCUCUCUGCUGCAAAGCCAUUUAUAAAAACAAAACAAAGCCAAAAAGAACCCUUUUCCCCCCUUAUCCUUUGUACUCAGUAGUGUCAUUGUAGUAAUUAUGAGCAAAAGAGAAAGAUAACCACUGUUAUUCAUAUUUCAAUGGUCUGUCUCCUAAAAUUAUUUGUUCACAGUGGGCUUUUAGAGUCAUGAUAACACAACUUUAAGAGUCCACAAAUGGUAGUGGAGACAUUUAGAAUUUUUUUUUUCUAUUAUGAGAUACACUUAUUGCCAAACUGACUUACUCAUCACAGAAAGGGAAAAAUACCCCUCAAAUCCCAUGAAGAUUAAAAAAUCGUAAUAAAUUAAUUAUUUAUAAUAAUAAUAUAAGUAAUAAACUGUAGUAAAUGAGAGAGAGCAUUGGAGUCCAAGAAGUUCAGUUCUUCUGAUAUAGGUGACCCAGUGCAGGAAUUUUAACCUUUUACUGCUAUCCCUUCCCACUGCCAUCCCUUCCCCUGACCCUCCCAUCCCAGUUUCCUGAGAUUCUUAAAUUACAAAUUAGUCGUUGAUCUAAAUUGGUGGGCAGUUUUCACACCAGGAGUUCUCUAGAUGGAUCAAGGUCUGGACCACCUUCUUCCCUCCAGCUCCCUCAAAAUAACGAUUGAGAGCUUAGUGACUGUAAUUUGAUUUAUAAUAGUAGAAGAAAUGAUCACUUGAAAAGGCCAGGAUUUUAUCCAAAGUAUUGCUUAGUUCAAACUAGACAGAACCAAGAAAAAAUAAAUUAACAGACUAAUAUACUCAAUUCAUUUUUUGUUCGUUUGAUUUUUUUUUUUUUUGGAAAUCUGAAGAGACAUAGUGACCGAUUUCCCCUUUCCAGCCAAGACUACGUCUUUACAAAUUCCCUUUAUGUUAGACAAAAGAGUUCCCUAAAGAGCUCCCUAAAGGAGCCUUAAUUUUAAAAUGCAUUGAGAUAGGGGGAAAGAGAACAGUGGUAACCUGCUAGCUGAUGGUUGGUGUGAAGAGAGUUAAACAGGCUUGCCCAGCUUUCAGAGAAAACUCUUGAGUUACCCACCAGAUAUUAUUGCCUAUGUUCUUCUCAAACCCAACUUUUUCCACUCUCAGGUUCUACAACCCUUAUUACAUAUCAAGUUUGUGUCCUCCCACAAGCUGGGGGGUGGGGUGGGGGGAACUAACCCAGGAUUUCCAGUAUGUGCUUGGUCUGUUUGGCCAAAGGUGACUAACUUAGUGGACUGAGGUCGACCUCCCCCUCCCCCAAAUCAAUAAUUUAAUGUGACUUAUCAGAAAGAGAAAGAAUUGUUUACUUUAAAUCCCUGGAUCCCAUAAAGGGAGAGAGGGAAAGGCACACUGGGAACAGAAGCUGCAGAGGGCCUUGUUUCUGCCUCUGGGCUGCUGAAAGGCAAAGCAGGAGAAAGCUCUUUAGAGGGAUGCAUCUAGCUCUAAGAGAUGUGUGGAACGCCAAGGCCCAGUCACUGUUCAGAUCAGAAUCUGGGACAGACCCUGCAGAGGAGAAGCUCCCCACCAUGCAGCCACUCUUGGAGGUGAAUUCUUAAGAAGUGAUGAGCCACCCAGCGGGGACAGUAGAGAGAAGUUUAUACCUCCACUAUGGCCGAGGACUAUGAAAGGUAGCCAAAAAUAUUCACACAGUACAUUCAUCUUCAAACAACCAUUAACACUCCAAUCUAACAAGCAGUUCACUCCCUUUUAGCUUCUUCUCCACUCUUCCUAGAUUCAGCUAUCUUUACUAUAAGUUCUGAGAAAUAGUAAGAGAAGGACUACAACUAAGAGAUUGUAGUUAAUAGAGUAGUGUCUUUCAAAACCAGCUAAUUCUUGUUAACCAUCUCCUUUAUGCCAAGAUGUUUUGCUGCUCCCAAGAGAUUCAAAGAGAAAAAUCCCAUCCCUGUCUUCAAAACACUUUCAUUUCAUAUACUAAAAUGUGUGAGGAGCUUUGUUCUAGGUCCCCAGGCACCUUUGGGCAAAUGAAAGAAAGAAAUCAAAUACAUGAAAAAGAUAUAAAACACACAUAAAAUCUGAGUCAUAACAGAUUAAGCAUUAGUAUUAUGUGUUUGUUAAAUGUAUUGAAUGCAACUGAACUAGAUGAAAGUUAUAUAAGUCAUCAUAGCUUGCUCACAUCCAUGCAUGUGAGUUCUGAGAUGUUGCUAUGGCAAUAGAAAAGGUAGAACUCAGUCUGGGCAAGUUUCUGUUUAUUUAUUUAUUCAUUUAUCUAUCUAUCUAUCUAUUUGACAAAAGCUUUUUAUUUACAGAGUAUAUGCAUGGGUAAUUUUUCCAACAUUGACUCUUGCAAAACCUUUUGUUCCAGAUUUCCCCCUCCUUAUCCCCACUCCCUCCCCUAGUUGGCAGGUAGUCUAAUACAUGAUAAAUAUGUUGAAAUACAUGUUAGAUCCAAUAUAUGCAUACAUAUUUAUACAGUUAUCUUGUUUCAUAAGAAAUAGAUCAAGAAAGAAGGAAAAAGAAAAGCUGAGAAAGAAAACACAAUGCAAGAAUGCUAUGUUAUAAUCCAUACUCAGUUCCCACAGUCCUCUCUCUGGGAGUAGAUGACUCUCUUCUUCACUGCACAAGUGGAACUGGUUUGAAUCAUCUCAUUGUUGAAGAGAGCCAUGUCCAUCAGAAUUGACCAUCAUAUAGUCUUGUUGUUGCCGUGUAUAAUGAUCUCCUGGCUCUGCUCAUUUCAUUUAACAUCAGUUCAUGUAAGUCUCUCCAGGCCUCUUAAAUCAUCCUGCUGGUCAUUUCUUACAGAACAAUAAUAUCCCAUAACAUUUAUAUACCAUAAUUUAUUCAGACAUUCUCCAAUUGAUGGGCAUCCACUCAGUUUCCAGUUUCUUGCCACUAUAAACAGGGCUGCCACAAACAUUUUUAGACAUGUGGGUCCCUUUCCUUUCUUUAAGAUCUCUUUGAGAUAUAAGCCCAGUAGAAACACUGAUGGAUCAAAGGGUAUGCACAGUUGAUAACUUUUUGAGCAUAGUUCUAAACUGCUCUCCAGAAUGGCCGGAUGUAUUUAUAAUUCCACCAGCAAUGUAUCAGUGUCCCAGUUUUCCCACAUCCCCUCCAACAUUCAUCAUUAUCUUUUCCUGUCAUCUUAGCCAAUCUGACAGGUGUGUAAUGAUAUUUCAGAGUUGUCUUAAUUUGCAUUUCUCUGAUCAAUAGGGAUUUGGAGCACCUUUUCAUGUGGCUACAAAUACUUUCAAUUUCUUCAUCUGAAAACUGUCUUCAUCUCUCUUGACCAUUUAUCAAUUGGAGAAUGACUUAAACUAUUAUAAAUUUGAGUCAGUUUUCUAUAUAUUUUAGAAAUGAGGCCUUUUAUCAGAUCCUUUGGAUGAGUCUGGGCAAGUUUUAAGGAAGCUCAGAAUUGGAUGCUACGAAUAAGGGUCCAGAAAUUUCUGAGGAUAAGAAUAAGAAAUAGUGAAUACAGUGCUAUAUUUUAGUUUACUGAAGCUGGGGCUCAAUAGCCAUUUUGAUGUCUUGACUUUCUGUAGUUAAAAGCUCGUUAAUAGAAAACCACUCGGCUUACUGGAGAGGAUUUCCUCAACUAAUUCAUGCUAGACUGUUGAUGAUUGAUUAUAACCUGGACAUUUGAUCCUUCCCAGGAAUAUUUGGAGCUUUGUAAGGGACUAAAAAGAAUUUCUAGUAACAGAACAAUUUCAGUUACUAAUGUCUAGCCUGUGGAGACACAUUUGAGGGUAAGAAAGAGGCUGGGAAGGGCUUUUCUAAUAUCCCUCAAAUCAUACUACCGAAGCAAUCAGUGGCCUGUUUGGCUAAUGGACCAAAGUCACAUUCUAAAGGGAAAUGAGUCAUCCUAUUAAAAGGAUAAACAAACCAAGAAGAUAAGCAAAUAGCUGGAGCCAACUCCCUCAAUCUGAGUAUGAUAAAAAUGACUUUUAAAAAUAUAUCAAUCCUCACAAAACCUGAAGCCCUGUUGUCUUUGUCAAGCCUGCUGAUUUCAUUUACUGGGAGACAGGAAACCAGAUUGUCUUUAGGAAAUACAAAGAAAAUUGAUUUUAGGUGCUCAAGGAUAUGACAACAUUAAAUUUAGAAAGUAUUUCUGGUUGUAUUUAGAAAAAGAGGCAAUUCUGAGAAACAUGAACCUAGCCCCAACUUUCCUCUUUUUACUGCAUAGUAAAAAAGAAAAUCAGUGAAGUAAAAUACUUAGCUUCUUGUCUUUUCUACUGUGGCAAGGAGUUUAGUACUAUCAAAAAAAUAAUUCAAACUGGAAACCUGUGCAAAUCUAGAGCAGGAUUGCUUCACAGAUAGGUCUCCUUUUGGCUAAGAUCUGAAUGCUAUUGCCUCCAAAAUGAAUAGGUCCUUUUCACUAAGCUUACCUCCUGUCUCUUCAAUUUUACUCCUUUUCCUUUCCACUACCAUAAUGGACUGAGAUUUAAAAUCCAAACUGAGCUUGGUUGUUAGGUAACCAAGGCCAUGCUACUGAUGUCAAAAUUCUAUUCCUUAAAAGAAGUGAGUUUUCUUUCUUGGGAAGAAAAUACCACUUACCAAAAUUGUCACAGACUUAAAGCAGGCAUUAAUAAUAUGCUAGGAAUUAUUAAGGAAGGGGGAGAUGGAGGGAAAGAGAGCCUUUUCAUAACUUUAUGCUUGCUUAUUAUAUGCAUUCCCACAAAAUAUUUUUGUUUGUCAAAUUCUGGUUUCACACAUACAGUAGUGUAUCCACUGUAGAUGUUUUAUUUUCUCAGCCUAAAAAAAAUAAGUGAAAACAAAUAUUCUAGUGGGCUCAUCACAUAUUUGAUUUCCUUAAGAAAUCUCCACUUACUUUAAGGAGUGCUUAAUUGUAGGACAAAGAAUAUGUAACAUGGAAAACACUAACUCUGGAAUCAGAGAACAUGGGUUUGAAUUCUUCCUGUUUCUUAUUAUUUGUGUGAUCUUGUAUAUGAUGUCACUCCUUGAUCCUUAGUUUCUUCCUUUCUAAAAUGAGGAUGCUGGAAUGAAUGGCCUCUGAGGUCUUUUCCGGUUCUAGAUAGAUGAUUUUGUGAUCCUAUGAAAGCAGAACAAAGGGCAGAUUUGCUAGUGUCAGUGUAGACCAAAUAACUACUCUCAUAAGGCAGUUUCAGUUUGGACAGGGCAAGGAGAAUCUUCUACCUUUUGUUAUGACUUCCUUCAGCUUGUCUCUCCAUUUCCUAUAAAGUUUGUCAUGGUGUCCUAUCUCCUCUUUCCCUUUCAGGUAAUGCAUAGAGAUCUGGAGACUUCCUUUUUGGUGGGUUCAUGGCAGUGCUGCCAUGUGGAAGUGCAACUAAUAUUCUUUGGGCUGUGUGUUAUCCUUGCCAGAGCUAUGGAGUGUGACAAUGGUGUUUGUGUCCAGUCUAUCAAACGCCAUUAUCACACUAAAUAGCUAUAGUUGGGUACUCCAUCUCUUCAGGGAAGAGCAUGUCAAGCAUCGAGUCAUCUGCUGAAGAUGGACAAAACUGUUACUCUUACUUUAAUGCCCUGUUCAUUCAUGGAUACCAAAGAAAUUGCCAAAAUGGUGGCUCAUAAAAGGGUAUAUUCUUUCAGAGGCAGAAUUUUCUCAACUUUGCCUUUUACCCUUUGCUAUAAAUGGAUGUUUUCCUGAAGGAUGUAAGCUCCUUGAGGGCAGAGAUUAUUUUGUUUUAAUUUUCAUCUUUGUAUCCAUAGCCUAUCACUGCAUCUAGUACUAAUAAUCUUUAAUAAAUGUUUGUUGAAUUGAAUAUAUUUCUGAGUCCCUAAAGAAGAUGCAUACCAUCCCACAGGAUUUAGCAUGCUGCUAGACACAGUGGAUCCAACAAUAAAUAUUUCUUGAAAUGCAGUAGCAAGGAGGGAAUGGAUAAAGGGAAAAGAAAUCAUCUGGGAUAUGCAAAUAAUUUAUUAUUUACAUAGAAAGUAAAGUAUUUGCCUUUUUUCUUUUCAUUAUGGAAUUCCUUUCAAAAGCACACGGUAAUAAACUUACAUUUGGUCUAAUUGACCUCCUAGAAAUGUUAGUGCACAUGUUUGACUCCUAACAAUUUUAUUCAAUUACAGUGAUGAUUGCUAUAUAUGUAUGCACGAUUCCCCCUUCCCUAAUGUAUCCUUUAAUUAUCCAUUAUGUUGAACUGCUGAAAACAACUUUUGAAAUUGUUAGCUCUUGUGGCCUAUUUAAUAAUUGAACUCAGCAGAGUUGAAAUGCAAUAGAGGUAAAGGGGGUUGGUUCUUAUAUCCUAAACAAGGAGAGGAUCAGAAGGUGUACUGGCUUAAAAUAAUUUGAAUUAAUCAACUGCAUGAUAGCCCAAGUUGGGCUUUUUCCUCAGAAUCCAGUUAUUAGGACUAAAUUCUUGACACUGGAUCAUGUUUUGUGUAUGAGGCAAACUGAUGGUAUAUGCAGUUUUUCAGUUUCCAGUUGUCCUGGAAAUGGAGACUAUAAUCAUACAAAGAAACUCCAGAAUACCUGAUGAGUGAUUAAAAACAAAAAGAAAGAAAUGGAAUAGUGGAAAGAACACCAGACCAAGAGAGAGGAAUUCUUUCUUUAAGGAAGUCAUUAAAUCUCUUUUGGCUUCCUGGAGCAGCAAGGUGGGUAACACAGUGAAUAAAUAAAGGGCCUGACCUAAAGUAAAGAAGACCUGAGUUCAAAUCCAGCCUACUUAUUAACUGUGACCUGGAAAAGUCAUUUAGUCCUACUUGUCUCAGUUUCUCAUCUGUAAAAUGAGCUGGAGCAGGAAAUGGCAAACGACAUGAGUAUCUUUAUCCCCUAAAAUGGAGUCACAAAGAGUCAGACAUGAUUGAAAUAAUUGAACAAUAACAAAAAUGGAAGGCCAGCCUAGAUGAUCUCUUAAGUUAUAAUUCUAACAAUCUCUGAAUCUAAGUAAUACCAUUAGUCAAAUGAAUAAAAUUUACAAAAUAAUUCAUUAAGGAAUUUUGAAAACCUUAAUGAAAAUACCUUAAUGAAGAGAUUAUCUUCAGUACAUUUAGUAAAAAAGAAAAAAAAUUGCAUUAAUGGUUUACAAAUAUCACAUUUCAAAGAAAUGAGUUUGUUUAUUUAGAGGACAAAAAUACAAAUCCAAAGAACAGAGCUUAUGGAACUGGAAGCAAGGAAGGAAAAAGAGGGAGUAAAUAAAAAAAAGGAUAUGACACUAUUCCAAUCCACUAUAAUGGUUUUGGGGUUUUUCACAGGGGAGAGACUCACCAGCCAAUGAUACUGCUAAAAGCAAGAGAUCUUUAAUUUGAUACAUUUUCAGCUUCCCCAAGGGAAGAUUUAAGGUCUAAGGGAACACCUAGCAAUGGGAACAAAUAAGGGGAGGACAGAAGCAACUCAGGAGGGAUACAACCAUAUUUGUAAUAACAGUAUUUAGGCCACAGCAGGAUAAGAAAAGAAGUUCAAGGAUGUGAGUGAAGAGGAUAUAUGUUGUCCUUUGUAUACUUAGCUUUGCUUCUACAUAAGAUAGCUAAGAUCUUGUCUCCAUCAGGGAAGCACACCAGCUCUUCCCACCCUUCUAAAACUAGGUGGGGAUCAACACAGGUCAAUUCUCUAUACAAAAGUAUUUUCAUAGAUUAGGAUGGUCAGCCAAUGAGAAGAGUCAAAGAAAAUUCAAAUUGCCAGAGAAACAACAAAACAAAGCAGAAGAGGGAAGGGUGAGUUCUUGCUCAUACCUGGCUGAUUGAUCUCCUUCAUUUGCUGUCAUAUAUAACAGAUGCUAAUUAACCAGGUGGAGUAUGGGCAUAGAAGAUUAUAAAAGAGGGAAGGGGCCAGGCUGGACGAAGAGUUGUGUCUGAAGCACAUAUAGCUUGUUUCAAGAAAUACUGGAUUCAUCUGCAUCCAAAAAGAGAACUAUGGAGAUUGAAUGUAAAUCAAUACAUGCUAUCUUCGCUUCUUUUUUUUCUGUUUUUUUCCUUGUGGUUUUUCCCUUUUGUUCUGAUUUUUCUCUCCCAACAUGAUUCACAAAGAAAUGUGUAUUUAAAAAGUUAAUACACAUGAAUAAACAGAAAAAAAAAGCAAUAAAGAAAAAAAGACUGGACCCCCCAAAAAAGAGAGGAGUGUGAGGAUACAUGUAUAUGUAUAUAUUCUGUGAAUUAAUAACUAUCAUAGAUGUAGGAAGGGAAAGUUUAAGUUUGGUCCUUAACUAUUGAAAUUCACCUUGUCAAAUGACUUCUCAUCUAAUUAAAUUCCCUUUAUUUUUUUCAAUUUUGAUAUCUUCUUUUCCGAUUCAUUGAUGUGUC